This is a non-coding RNA of Heterocephalus glaber (naked mole-rat), 1183 nucleotides long. NCBI's taxonomy places the organism in Eukaryota, Metazoa, Chordata, Mammalia, Rodentia, Bathyergidae. The record is from RefSeq and is a predicted model, not a curated record.
GGCUGCCCUCCGACGCCCUGCAGGCGCCCUGAGUCCUAGGCAAAGAAAACCGGCAUUUAUUUCAUCUUAUAAAUCUUAACAUCACAGUCCCUGACUGCAGACAAGGGACAGUCAAAAAGCAGGUUAAGGAGAAGGCAGAUGUCAGCCGGUGGCACACGCAGUGAGGACGGACGCACGGACGCAGGCUGGCUGAGAGAUGGCAAAGUCGCCCAGGGGCAGCGGAGCAGCCCAGGGCCCGCGAGGCGAGGGCUGGGGGCAAAGCUGACGGGAGAGGGCCCUGCAGCGGCCAUUUGCAAUACAAGCCAUCACGAACUCACGGGCCACACCAGACGGACUGCAGGCUCCAAUCGGCCCCCGAGGCAUCGUUUGCCAAGCGCUGGUCUAAGUGUCCACUGGGUAAGUGGAAGAAAAUCGGACACUGGCCCCGUGCUAGAUCACAGCUGUGCACACGCACGCACAAGUGACAGACACCCUGCUUGCUCGUGAAGAAUGCAAGAGGCAAGCAGGAGUAACCUUGGCCCCUUCCUUAUUUUCCGUCCUGAAAGCUAGAGUGAAGCCAAAAUGAGUGCUCAAGGACCUUUUGCAAAGUGUGACGCUGACCAGGGCUGAAGAGCGAGGCAGCUUCCGCCCUCGGCUUUGCUCAAACACCCGGAAGGGACUCUCGGCCAGGCGCACAGAUGGGGGCUUCUGCCAACCCCACUAACCUCUGCCUCUGGUUCCCUUAAAGCCUCAGGUUGGCUCUGAUGGGAGAACAUGAGCUUGCAGGCAGGGUAAGUAGCCAUCCUACCACGCCAGGCUAUCCGUUCUUUACCUAAGUGCCAUGAAGAACUAACCCACAAACUUGGGAGUCCUGGGGAGCUCAUCUCUAUCCCACCCCUGCUUCUGUUUCCUUAAUCCAGCUCUAGGCUGUAAGUGCUACUUUUGUAAAAGAAAAAGUUACUACCCAGAAUUCACAGGAUGGAAUAAGUAAAGGGACUUUUCGGGUGGAAGAACAUAUCCUUCCUAAUGGGAUUGUCUCAUUUAUUCAUUUGUUGAGGCAGGGCCCUGCUAUGUAGCCCCGGCUGGCCUCGAACUCACAGUGAUCUUCCUGCCUCUGCCUCCCAGGUGCCAGAUUACAGGCCUGCGCUACCAUGCCCAGCUUGAAUCGUGUGAAAUUCAUAAAGCUGUCCUUUGGGAUUCUUCA